This 5753-nucleotide long non-coding RNA is filed under the name Podarcis muralis (Common wall lizard). Its description in RNAcentral is "lncRNA (ENSPMRG00000015741.1)". Lineage: Eukaryota; Metazoa; Chordata; Lepidosauria; Squamata; Lacertidae. The record is from RNAcentral.
GGAGAAAGUAACUUGGCCCCUGCAUUGAUUCUUUGGCAGACAAAGGCUUUGAACGCAGGUCCCCAACCCCUGGUGUGAAAUUCAAGUGCUUCUGCUCAGCCACAUUGACUUGAGGUUUUCUAUCUCUCGAAGGGUGCAAGCGGAAGGGCAAGCAGCCCCCUCUAUCGCUGGGGCAUCAGGAGAUGGGAUGAGCAGCCGCUGGAACGGUGGGACUCUGGGGGUCUGAGCACCCUGCUUGCGGAGGAGGCUUCCGGGGUGCUGGCAGCGCUGGAGCGGAAAUACCGGGUUCUCCAGAGGAAACUGUGCGCUGAGAUGCUGCAGGCACACUAUGGGCAUCCGGUUUGGACCUCCCUGUCUCAGGCCGCGAAAGAGGACAAGCUCUCUGAGCUGGAGACCCUGGUGGAUUUCGGCCUGCGCGAGGGAAGUAUCCUGCCCCUCUCCAGCCUGCCUGGGGCGCAGCACGAAGUCAGAUCUGGGGCACCGAAGGUGGGCGAUACCAACGGGGGACCCCUCGACCCCUCGGUCACAGAGGGCACAGCCGCCCACGCCCUCCUGCAGUUGCGGCGCAGGAGGCAGGCAGAGACGGCAGCUCUGCUGACCCACCGGCACCUCCAGGGCGGCAGCAACCCAGAAACCUCGCGCCAACUGUUACAUCUGCAUGCACAGACAGAGCUCGUCCACCAGGAGGCGUCGUUCCCAGCUGCUCUGCUUGCGAUAGAGCUGUUCUUGGGAGAAAGGUUUUGGGACUCGCAGCCCAUCGAACCCGGAGCCCGGCACCUGGAGUUGGCUCAGCUGCGGCUUGCCGCAGGGAGUGGACCGGCGUCGGCAUGGCAGGAGGCCAAACCUGCGCCAGGAAGAUUGAUGGCGGUAAAACCAGGAUGAUCAGCCAAAUGGGAUAUUGGUGCUUGCCAACUAGAGGCGAAGGGGAACAUGGGAUAGCAGACAAAGGGCCCAAGUGUGGCUGUCAGCUUCCUGCCUUUAGAAGAGCCCCUUCUCUGCUUCCUCAAGAGUCGCUGAUCUGUGCGUGCCUGCAAAUGGAAUGAGGCAAGCUCAGAGCUGUUACUCAUACAGAGAGAAAACGGGCACAUCCCUUUCCGGGGAGGACAUUCUGCUAGGAAACUGCCCAGGGAGUGGUCAAACGCGCCAUUCAUGACCAAUGCAGUGAUACAACAGGUUGAAGAACAGUGUAUCCUUCAGAGAGGCGGCAGGCACACUCCUCCCGGUAGGCUGGGAUGGCAGGAGCCUUUAAGCUGUGCAUUUUUCACAGCCCAGCAAUAAAGCCCUGCGCUUUACUUUUUGCAAACCCCUUUGGCAAAGAUGUAGGAUGUGAUGCAUAGAUAGCAGUCAAGUACAACAUUCUUUGUUUUCCUAGAGUGGACAUGCAGGGAAAUGUUUCCUCCAGUCAGUAGAAAACUUCCUGCUUCCUCCUGAGCUGGGACAAACUUCCUCUGCAUGUGAUUAGAGGUUGCGUAACACAAACACACAGGUAACACAAAAGGACAAGGCACGCUGCACACUCUCUCUUUUGACUUCCUCUCCAUCGUAGGACCAGCAGCUUUUUAGCUAGAGAUGCACAAAGGGACUAUUCCCAUAUGGGGUAGAUUCCACAUGUAUAUCCUCUGUAGCUAAGUCUGCCUUCAGGGAUCCAUCUGUGAACUGAAUGUGUGAGUAAACUUCUUUUAUAUAUACUUUGCAGAAGAUUAGUAAAGGUAAAGGUACCCCUGCCCGUACGGGCCAGUCUUGACAGACUCUAGGGUUGUGCGCCCAUCUCACUCUAUAGGCCGGGGGCCAGCGCUGUCCGCAGACACUUCCGGGUCACGUGGCCAGCGUGACAAAGCUGCAUCUGGCGAGCUAGCGCAGCACAGGGAACGCCGUUUACCUUCCCGCUAGUAAGCGGUCCCUAUUUAUCUACUUGCACCCGGGGGUGCUUUCGAACGGCUAGGUUGGCAGGCGCUGGGACCGAGCGACGGGAGCGCACCCCGCCACGGGGAUUCGAACCGCGACCUGACGAUCGGCAAGUCCUAGGCGCUGAGGCUUUAACCCACAGCGCCACCCGCGUCCGUUGCAGAAGAUUAUGUCGUGUCUAUUCUUUUUAAGGGGGAGAAAAGGGGAUGACAAGGAAUCCUAAUACUGAGAAGCAGCUUGUGGGUUUAAAUGGCGAAUGUAAACUCUGCGAAGUAAAGGAACUUGCUAGCACAAGUUAGGAAGGAUAUUAUUAAACAAUAUAUCCUCUCCUGUCUCCCUGAACAUCCCCACAAAAGAAGGGGGUUGUUUUUAAAAGGAGGCUGGUUGCCCUGUUUGAAUAACGCUGCCAGAAUUAAGGCAAGAUGGAAAAAAGCACAUAAAAUAAGAAACUUGCUUCAAAUACACGUCUGUUUUACGUAUCCAAGGUCAGGGCCUUUGGACCCGGCUGAAUGUGGCCCCCAGUAUGGAAACCUCCUCCCCUUGCUUUCGCCACCUGGGCUCGGGUAGCGCAUUCGUAGAACAAUAGAACUGUAGAUGUGGGGCCACGGAGGCCAUGUGUGUUUCUCCUUCUGGCCCCAUAGCAGGUGCUGCUGGACCGCCUGCUGCUGCAGCAACAGAGGGACAGAUCCUGCCUGAUCCAGAUCUUGUUGGCUCUUGCUGAGCCAGAGGGUGCCCAGGAAAGAGGCCGUGGCAGAAAGCAGCCGACCUCCGUGGGAGCAGGUACAGCAAUGGAAGGAAUCAUAGAAUCAUAGAGUUGGAAUAGACCACAAGGGCCAUCGAGUCCAACCCCCUGCCAAGCAGGAAACACCAUCAGAGCACUCCUGACAUAUGGCUGUCAAGCCUCUGCUUAAAGACCCCCAAAGUAGGAGACUCCACCACACUCCUUGGCAGCAAAUUCCACUGUCGAACAGCUGUUACUGUCAGGAAGUUCUUCCUAAUGUUUAGGUGGAAUCUUCUUUCUUUUGGUUUGGAUCCAUUGCUCCGUGUCCGCUUCUCUGGAGCAGCAGAAAACAACCUUUCUCCCUCCUCUAUAUGACAUCCUUUUAUAUAUUUGAACAUGGCUAUCAUAUCACCCCUUAACCUCCUCUUCUCCAGGCUAAACAUGCCCAGCUCCCUUAGCCGUUCCUCAUAAGGCAUCGUUUCCAGGCCUUUGACCAUUUUGGUUGCCCUCCUCUGGACACGUUCCAGUUUGUCAGUGUCCUUCUUGAACUGUGGUGCCCAGAACUGGACACAGUACUCCAGGUGAGGUCUGACCAGAGCAGAAUACAGUGGCACUAUUACUUCCCUUGAUCUAGAUGCUAUACUCCUAUUGAUGCAGCCCAGAAUUGCAUUGGCUUUUUUAGCUGCCGCGUCACACUGUUGACUCAUGUCAAGUUUGUGGUCAACCAAGACUCCUAGAUCCUUUUCACAUGUACUGCUCUCAAGCCAGGUGUCCCCCAUCUUGUAUUUGUGCCUUUCAUUUUUUUUGCCCAAGUGCAAUACUUUACAUUUCUCCCUGUUAAAGUUCAUCUUGUUUGUUUUGGCCCAGUUCUCUAAUCUGUCAAGGUCGUUUUGAAGUGUGAUCCUGUCCUCUGGGGUGUUAGCCACCCCUCCCAGUUUGGUGUCAUCUGCAAAUUUGAUCAGGAUGCCCUUGAGUCCGUCAUCCAAGUCGUUGACAAAGAUGUUGAAUAAGACCGGGCCCAAGACAGAACCCUGUGGCACCCCACUAGUCACUCUUCUCCAGGAUGAAGAAGAACCAUUGAUGAGCACCCUUUGGGUUCGGUCAGUCAGCCAGUUACAAAUCCACUGAGUGAGAGAGAGCGAGAAACCAAGCGCUUACCCAGGUUUGCUUUCCUUGGAAGGAGGGACAGUGGAGACUGUGGUGUCUUUAGGAUAUAUGGCUUUAUUUACACAUUGUGUUGGGCCCGGGGGUUAACCUGAGCCACGCAGUUCAGGUCCUCCCGAAUCCAAGGAUUCCGUGAGGAGUCAGUCCAACAGGGCCAAGGCAGAAAACCAGGCUAGGUCAGACACAGGGUCUCAGGCAGGUUCCAGCAAGCAGCAAUGUUGGUCCUGUAACCUGGGGCGGGGUCCGACCGCCUUUUAUCUCUGAUGGGGUAACAGCCGGUCCUGAUCCCCCGGUGACUCACCUCCCUGUCUUGCCCGAAGGGAUGGUUUCGCUCUUCCAAUUUCUCGCAAUUAGAAUCCUGGCUGCAGCUGUGGCACACAUGAAUGGUGGUCUAACCUUCUUUAAUUUCUGUUGUCAUGAUUCCUAAUAAAAAGGUCUCCGGUCUUUUUAAGAUUAAAUGAGCAUUAAGAUAACUUCAGCAGUGUAAAUAAGUUUUGAUGGAUGCGAUAAUGGAAUACUGAAUGGUAUAGUUUUUGUAAAAUAUGCAGGGAUUUAUGAUUUGCAGAAUGAACCAUGGAAAGAGAACAAGGGGAGUCACUGAUAUCUUAAGAUGUAAAAAGGAGUACCGUAUUUUUUGCUCCACAAGACAUGCUUUUUUCCUCCUAAAAAGUAAGGGAAAAUGUCUGUGUGGUUUAUGGAGCGAAUGUGUGGUCGAUUGCUGGCUCUUGUUCAGGCCUUCAUUGUUGAAUGUUCUGCAGACAGAGGCUGUUUGUUUCCCCAGCGACAUGGGACUGUCUGGAAACUGUAGAAACGGCUCCCUUUCCUUUUUCUAAAGAAGCUGCAGAACUGUGAGUUGAACCCCAUAAAGACAGGAUUUUUUUUCUCUUUGCAAAGUAAGCUCAACAACUUUGAGCUGAUCCUCAAAAAAUGGGGCUGUCCCCCUUUCCUCCUCUAAAAACUAGGUGCGUCUUAUGGUCAGGUGCAUCUUAUGGAGCGAAAAAUACUGCACUUUAAAUUGUAAAACAGAAAAUUUAAUGAAACACACACACACACACACACACACACACACACAACCACCCCAAAAAGUUCUCCCAUGGCCACAGCCUUAGAUUCAAGUAGAAAUCAAGAAUGUCUCUCCUGCAGAGGCUUCAGUCAGCAGCCUCCUAUCAGCUCCUAGCUCUCAGACACACUCAACUCUGGCUUUUGUCACUGCCAGCUGGUUGGGGGAGCAUGGAUUUGAACCCUGUCUCUCCCAGCUGCUGGUCCGGCACACAAACUCCCAUGUCACACCAGCUCUGACUUUCUGUUGGCACUUUUGCCUCUCACUCCCCUCGCGUGUUGGAGCCUGUAGUGAGCUGGACUAUCCACACACACACCCCAACCAUUCUUCCUAGACACCGGCAGGACUUGGCCAGGAAAGGGGAGAGAUCGCUAGUUGUUGCAAAUCACAAGCCAAACGGCAAAGCUGCCUCCACCUCCGUUCCCGGACCACCCUCGAACGGGGUUCAAGAAGGAGAAUCCCCCUUCAAUAUUUACCAGGUUUGCCCAGCCCUGAGUCACUUUACCGUGACACAGACAGAAAUUCAACAGGUAGGUGUCCAAACGGCAAGGCACCAGUUUAGCUUCCGCGAGCAAAGGCACAGAGUUGUUGUCCUUUAGUCAUUUAGUCGUGUCCGACUCUUCGUGACCCCCUGGACCAGAGCACGCCAGGCACUCCUGUCUUCCACUGCCUCCCGCAGUUUGGUCAAACUCAUGCUGGUAGCUUCGAGAACACCGUCCAACCAUCUUGUCCUCUGUCGUCCCCUUCUCCUUGUGCCCUCCAUCUUUCCCAACAUCAGGGUCUUUUCCAGGGAGUCUUCUCGUCUCAUGAGGUGGCCAAAGUAUUGGAGCCUCAGCUUCACGAUCUGAAAAGACAAAAAAGUCCUUUUCCAAGUUUAUUGAACAAGCUACUCAAAAAGUUGCA